UACGUAGGGCGCAAGCGUUGUCCGGAAUUAUUGGGCGUAAAGAGCUCGUAGGUGGCUUGUUGCGUCUGCCGUGAAAGCCCGUGGCUUAACUGCGGGUCUGCGGUGGAUACGGGCAGGCUAGAGGCUGGUAGGGGCAAGCGGAAUUCCUGGUGUAGCGGUGAAAUGCGCAGAUAUCAGGAGGAACACCGGUGGCGAAGGCGGCUCGCUGGGCCAGUUCUGACGCUGAGGAGCGAAAGCGUGGGGAGCGAACAGG
Molecule: ribosomal RNA, 253 nt
Filed under: uncultured bacterium
Lineage: Bacteria
Description: partial 16S ribosomal RNA
Rfam family: Bacterial small subunit ribosomal RNA
Source: RNAcentral